GCCUGGUUGCUGUUCAGCUCAAGAGUUCCCUGCUGAAAGGAAUCACAGAGAAGCUUUGCUCAUUCCACUUUUAUGCCUCACUCUCCCUCUGAAAGUUCUCUGCAAAACAAUUGCCAGAGCUCAGAAAUCCCCAAAACUUUAGCCAGUUAGGGCGUGCCCAUUUUCUCCUUCUCUCUCACUCUCUGCAAGAGAUUGAAUUAUUGACCCAAAUCCUUCACCCCUCACUGUACUAUUGGCCUUUGUUUUAUAACUUUGCAGUUACUCUUGCUAGACGUGGAAUGUACUUCCCUAUCCUUUGACCUUGUUUAUACUCAGCGUGUGACUUGAUUACACCAAUGGACUUUACUGCCCCUUCAACCUGGGCUUCAAAAGGUGAACACGUACAGCAGAUGUGAGAGCAACCACCAGCAAGGAACAAAACCUGCACUCAGCAGAACCCAGCCUAGAUCCGCUGACCAGCCAACCAACAUAGAGAUACAUUCAUGAGAAUAAAUAAUUGCUGAGAAAGUGCAUCCAGAACUGAUGUGAAUGCCGAGAUCUUGGUCUUUGAGCCUGAUGCUGUGAUUCCAUGAGACUUCUGCGGCUCUUUGGGGUGGAGUAAGCAUAGUUUUCAUGUAGAGGAUCAUGAAGAAUUGUGGUCCAAAAGCACAGACUGUGGUAGAUUGAAUUACCAGUCUCAAUUAUUAUCUCCUUCUAUACAUGCCCUUUGCCAUGUAACUUUUAGCUCCUCCUAUUAGAGGUGG
RNAcentral lists this long non-coding RNA (743 nucleotides) under Equus asinus (donkey). RNAcentral's name for it is "lncRNA (ENSEASG00005024114.1)". The record is from RNAcentral. Lineage: Eukaryota; Metazoa; Chordata; Mammalia; Perissodactyla; Equidae.